GGGCGGAGGGGAGGGGACGGGCGGGUUACGGCGCAUUUCUUGCGGGGGCCGCCGCCGCUUUGUCUGCGGGGGAAAGUUUGGCGAGGCGAGGCGCUGCCCCGGCACCUGCCGAAGGGGCGGCGGGGCCACCCCGCUUCCCCUUCCUUCCCGUCCCCUGCAGCCGGCGGCGGGGCCAUGGGCGCCCGGGCGACGCUGUGCCUCCUCAGCGCGGCGCUGGCCGCCGCCGCCUCAGCCUGCAGGUGCCUGUAUCUACCAAGGCUUGUUGUUUGAGAAGGCUGCUGUCUCAGGUCAGUUUUGAAGUGGAAGAUGACAAGAAAAUCAAACCUGCCCGGCUGUCGUUUCAGUUCCUGCAGGUUCCCUGGCUUCAGAAUGAACAUUGCUUUCAAAAAAAUACGAAUCUGAAGACCCAUAUGGGAGACACUCAGUCUGUCGAACUCAGUGCUUGUAGGGCAUUGGUGCAGCUGUCUGACAAAUGAAGAUUGGGAUCUAUUGCCUCAUGGCUUUGCUGGUACAAUUGUGUUUAUUGAGGCUGGGGAGGAGGGUCUUUCUGAAUCACUGGUUUGGGAUUCUGGAGGUACAAGCUGAAAUGUAUCUGUUAUACUGUCGCCUUAAUUUUAUUUUUUUCACUGUCUUCUUUUUUUUUUUUUUUUUUUUACCUUUAUCCCAGACCAUGA
Molecule: long non-coding RNA, 674 nt
Filed under: Calidris pygmaea (Spoon-billed sandpiper)
Lineage: Eukaryota; Metazoa; Chordata; Aves; Charadriiformes; Scolopacidae
Description: lncRNA (ENSCPGG00000000446.1)
Source: RNAcentral